AAGACUUUAAGUUAAUAAAACUAUUUGCCUUCAAAGCACAAAUUAAUUUAUAUUAAGUCUUA
This 62-nucleotide transfer RNA is filed under the name Ornithodoros brasiliensis. RNAcentral's name for it is "tRNA-Trp". The record is from RNAcentral. Lineage: Eukaryota; Metazoa; Arthropoda; Arachnida; Ixodida; Argasidae.